RNAcentral lists this unclassified non-coding RNA (338 nucleotides) under soil metagenome. Its description in RNAcentral is "partial contains 5.8S ribosomal RNA, internal transcribed spacer 2, and large subunit ribosomal RNA". The stretch from base 2 to 119 matches the Rfam family "5.8S ribosomal RNA", at positions 37 to 154 of the family's 154-position model. The record is from RNAcentral.
GUGAAGAACGUAGCGAAAUGCGAUAACUAAUGUGAAUUGCAGAAUUCAGUGAAUCAUCGAGUCUUUGAACGCACAUUGCGCCCCCUGGUAUUCCGGGGGGCAUGCCUGUCCGAGCGUCAUUGCUGCCCUCAAGCACGGCUUGUGUGUUGGGCUCCGUCCCCCCGGGGACGGGCCCGAAAGGCAGCGGCGGCACCGAGUCCGGUCCUCGAGCGUAUGGGGCUUUGUCACCCGCUCUGUAGGCCCGGCCGGCGCCAGCCGACAACCCAUCAUCCUUUUCAGGUUGACCUCGGAUCAGGUAGGGAUACCCGCUGAACUUAAGCAUAUCAAUAAGCGGAGGA